UUCAUAUGAGUGGGAACAGGUUCCUUGGCGAUGAAAAUCGGCGCAAGGAUGAAAAGGGAAGUCGGUGAGAAUCCGACACGGUCCCGCCACUGUAUGAGGGGAGUUUGCACAGCGAUAAGCCACUGGUCGAGACGGACUGGGAAGGCGUUGUGCAGAUCGUGAUCCUCAAGUCAGGAGACCUGCCUGUUUCGACAACACUGC
RNAcentral lists this non-coding RNA (201 nucleotides) under Brevibacillus parabrevis. The record is from RNAcentral. Lineage: Bacteria; Bacillati; Bacillota; Bacilli; Caryophanales; Paenibacillaceae.